RNA transcript from Camponotus floridanus (Florida carpenter ant), 1482 nucleotides. It is a transcript of the gene named RNA-binding protein 42, with no coding region annotated. The record is from RefSeq and is a predicted model, not a curated record. The transcript has 6 exons. NCBI's taxonomy places the organism in Eukaryota, Metazoa, Arthropoda, Insecta, Hymenoptera, Formicidae.
AGCUGCGCCAGUACUGCGCAGAUGUGGGUGCGUUGAGUGGACACGUUAGGUUAAGUGCUACGAAAUCAAAGUUAUUGUUUCGUUUCAAUCGUUUCGUUAAAAAGGUAUCAAUUUAUCGCACUUGCGUCAGAAUAGACGCUAUAAUUGAAUAAACGUUUUGUGGACGACCAGCUUGCAAAUAUGGACGACAAACUUCGGCAAAUGGAAGAUGAAAUGAACAGAUUUGAAGCUGAAAUCGGAGGGCAGCUUGUAACACCAAUUGUACGACCAGUAAUUGGUGCAAAUACAUAUAGUCAAGUCGCUAGGCAAUUGGAACAACAUGAACUUCCUACGCCAGUAGUUGCGGCAGCUGCUGCAGCGACGUUAGCAUUUCCCCCAAUGAUUGGAUUUCCUCCACCGCCACCACCUCCACCUCCUCCUCCACCUCCACCAAUGUUAAUUCCUCAACAAGUUGCACGACAAGGUACAGUUCCCAUUACAACAUAUUCCUCACCCGCACAAAUAAGUAAUCCAUAUAUAUCAAAUAUGGUUGAUCCGUGUCUAAGUGCAACCCCAAAAACAUACGAUUCUACGUCAACGCCAAUGAUCCAUCCUGAAAUUAUUGAACAAAUUAUUAAUACAAAAAUACCUGAAGAUGAGGGUAAAAAGAAACCAAAAGUAAAGGGUGUCAGCACAGCUGCUGAGUUAGCUAUUAGCCAAGGCAAAGCAAGUUCCAUUAUGGCUAAUGCUAGUGCAGAGGAGAGUCAUCCCAAGGGUAAAGGAAAAAAAAAUAAGAAGAUUAUAAGAACAGCUGGCGGUCAAACGUGGGAAGAUCCUUCUUUGCUAGAAUGGGACGAAGAUGAUUUCAGAAUAUUUUGCGGGGAUCUAGGAAAUGAUGUCACUGAUGAAAUGUUGGUCAGAGUAUUUGGAAAAUAUCCUAGUUUUCAAAAAGCAAAGGUAGUCAGAGAUAAACGGACAAAUAAAACCAAAGGCUUUGGAUUUGUGUCUUUUAAGGAUCCACAAGAUUUUAUCAAAGCAAUGAAAGAAAUGAAUGAAGCCGCAAGAAAGUGACAAAGAGUUCGACGCGUGGGCGAGCUCGAGAGAGAGAGAAAAAAGGAGAAUGAGAGGACCGAGGUCAUGAGCCCCUUCGACGUAAUGCGUUCUCUUUGGCGGAAUUUCUCAUUGAUGCCCGGCUAUUCGAAUGGAUAUUUUUGGCCCCACUAUCUCGCGCUCUCGGGAUUUCGAUGCAACUGCAUAUAUGGGUUACGCACAAGCCGCUUUUGUUUCCCGAUACUGUUGAUUUAAUAGCGCUUAGCUUUUACACGUCCUUCGAGGAUACGAAAUACGAGAGUAUCUACGUAAAGUGACGAUACGUCGGAUCGCGUCCGAUUAAGCUUCGAAAGAGUUCCUGGAAACAGAGGAAUCUGGAAUCUGUGCGGAAAAAAGAGAAGGAGAAGCAAGCGUUGAUUGGACUGCUUACUGGCCGAUAAGAAAGAAAAAGAG